RNAcentral lists this unclassified non-coding RNA (373 nucleotides) under soil metagenome. RNAcentral's name for it is "partial contains 5.8S ribosomal RNA, internal transcribed spacer 2, and large subunit ribosomal RNA". The stretch from base 1 to 120 matches the Rfam family "5.8S ribosomal RNA", at positions 35 to 154 of the family's 154-position model. The record is from RNAcentral.
GAUGAAGAACGUAGCGAAAUGCGAUAAGUAAUGUGAAUUGCAGAAUUCAGUGAAUCAUCGAAUCUUUGAACGCACAUUGCGCCCGCCAGUAUUCUGGCGGGCAUGCCUGUUCGAGCGUCAUUACAACCCUCAAGCCCCCCGGCUUGGUGUUGGGGACCGGCCACCGGUGCCCUGCUGCUUCCGCGGCAGGCGCACCCGGCCGCCCCCGAAAUGAAUUGGCGGCCCCGUCGCGGCCUCCCUCUGCGUAGUAGCACACAUCUCUCAGCUGGAGCGCGGCGCGGCCACUGCCGUAAAACGCACCAACUUUUUUUACAGUUGACCUCGAAUCAGGUAGGAAUACCCGCUGAACUUAAGCAUAUCAAUAAGCGGAGGA